RNAcentral lists this ribosomal RNA (253 nucleotides) under uncultured bacterium. RNAcentral describes it as "partial 16S ribosomal RNA". It matches the Rfam family "Bacterial small subunit ribosomal RNA", at positions 524 to 776 of the family's 1533-position model. The record is from RNAcentral.
UACGUAGGUGACAAGCGUUGUCCGGAUUUACUGGGCGUAAAGAGCGCGCAGGCGGUCGAUCAAGUCGAGUGUGAAAGCCCCCGGCUCAACUGGGGAGGGUCAUUCGAAACUGGUCGACUCGAAGGCAGGAGAGGGUGGCGGAAUUCUCGGUGUAGAGGUGAAAUUCGUAGAUAUCGAGAGGAACACCGGUGGCGAAGGCGGCUACCUGGACGGUGACUGACGCUGAGACGCGAAAGCGUGGGGAGCAAACAGG